CUGUUUUCUCUUUUUUGGCAGGGAAUCCUGUCUGUACUUAGGGGCUGGUAGCCGUUUGUACCUGGAAGCUGCUUCCUUCACUUCAGAGUGUGGCGGAUCCUAAUUCCAUUGAAGGGCUGGCAGCUGUAAGAACAGCAUCUGAACCUGGAAAUAGCUUCCUUUGGGAUGUGGGCAUGAUGGGGUUUAAGGAUUACCUGGGCUCCUCCAAUCAGCGGUGUGAGAUCUGUGCGGCAGGUAACGAACACCAUGAGCCCUAUGUUGGUGCACUGCUUGUACGCAGGUGGCAACAGAGCUGCGGUGCUUCCGAGUGCCGUAACGACU
Meleagris gallopavo (turkey) is the source of this 321-nucleotide non-coding RNA. The record is from RefSeq and is a predicted model, not a curated record. Lineage: Eukaryota; Metazoa; Chordata; Aves; Galliformes; Phasianidae.